Molecule: non-coding RNA, 72 nt
Organism: Populus tomentosa
Lineage: Eukaryota; Viridiplantae; Streptophyta; Magnoliopsida; Malpighiales; Salicaceae
Source: the annotation of a GenBank genome assembly
GGGGUGUAGCUCAAUUGGUUAAGUUUUAGAUCUACUCUCUAGAGGUCAUUAGUUCGAGUCUCAUAAAUCUCA